This 740-nucleotide ribosomal RNA is filed under the name uncultured archaeon. RNAcentral describes it as "bacterial SSU rRNA". It matches the Rfam family "Archaeal small subunit ribosomal RNA", at positions 1 to 750 of the family's 1478-position model. The record is from RNAcentral.
UUCCGGUUGAUCCUGCCGGACCCGACUGCUAUCAGAGUGGGACUAAGCCAUGCGAGUCAACGUAGCAAUACGUGGCAUACGGCUCAGUAACACGUAGUCAACAUGCCCAGGGGACGAGGAUAACCUCGGGAAACUGAGGAUAAACCUCGAUAGGCCAUGAUUUCUGGAAUGAUUCUUGGCUCAAACCUAUAUGGCCCCUGGAUUGGACUGCGGCCGAUCAGGCUGUUGGUGAGGUAAUGGCCCACCAAACCUAUUACCGGUACGGGCUCUGAGAGGAGGAGCCCGGAGAUGGGCACUGAGACAAGGGCCCAGGCCCUAUGGGGCGCAGCAGGCGCGAAACCUCUGCAAUAGGCGAAAGCUUGACAGGGUUACUCUGAGUGAUUUCCGCUAAGGGAAUCUUUUGGCACCUCUAAAAAUGGUGCAGAAUAAGGGGUGGGCAAGUCUGGUGUCAGCCGCCGCGGUAAUACCAGCACCCCGAGUGGUCGGGACGAUUAUUGGGCCUAAAGCAUCCGUAGCCGGUCCUGCAAGUCUUCCGUUAAAUCCAGCUGCUCAACAGAUGGGCUGCGGGAGAUACUACAGGGCUAGGAGGCGGGAGAGGCAAGCGGUACUUUAUGGGUAGGGGUAAAAUCCGCUGAUCCAUAGAAGACCACCAGUGGCGAAGGCGGCUUGCCAGAACGCGCUCGACGGUGAGGGAUGAAAGCUGGGGGAGCAAACCGGAUUAGAUACCCGGGUAGUCCCAG